GUGCUCACUUCGGCAGCCCAUAUACUAAAAUUGGAAGGGUACAGAGAAGAUUAGCAUGGUGUCUGUGCAAGGAUACCAUUAAAAUCUGUGAAGUGUUCCAUUAUUUU
This is a small nuclear RNA of Pteronotus mesoamericanus, 107 nucleotides long. The record is from RefSeq and is a predicted model, not a curated record. Lineage: Eukaryota; Metazoa; Chordata; Mammalia; Chiroptera; Mormoopidae.